RNAcentral lists this long non-coding RNA (675 nucleotides) under Salmo salar (Atlantic salmon). RNAcentral's name for it is "lncRNA (ENSSSAG00000090749.1)". The record is from RNAcentral. Lineage: Eukaryota; Metazoa; Chordata; Actinopteri; Salmoniformes; Salmonidae.
GGUAGAGUCCAGUGUGUGGGUAGAGUCCGGUGUGUGGGUAGAGUCCAGUGUGUGGGUAGAGUCCAGUGUGUGGGUAGAGUCCAGUGUGUGGGUAGAGUCCAGUGUUGUGUGGUAGAGUCCAGUGUGUGGGUAGAGUCCAGUGUGUGGAUAGAGUCCAGUGUGUGGGUAGAUCCAGUGUGUGGGUAGAGUCCAGUGUGUGGGUAGAGUCCUGUGUGUGGGUAGAGUCCAGUGUGUGGGUAGAGUCCAGUGUGUGGGUAGAGUCCAGUGUGUGGGUAGAGUCCAGUGUGUGGGUAGAGUCCAGUGUGUGGGUAGAGUCCAGUGUGUGGGUAGAGUCCAGUGUGUGGGUAGAGUCCAGUGUGUGGAUAGAGUCCAGUGUGUGGGUAGAGUCCAGUGUGUGGGUAGAGUCCAGUGUGUGGGUAGAGUCCAGUGUGUGGGUAGAGUCCAGUGUGUGGGUAGAGUCCAGUGUGUGGGUAGAGUCCAGUGUGUGGGUAGAGUCCAGUGUGUGGGUAGAGUCCAGUGUGUGGGUAGAGUCGAGUGUGUGAAUAGAGUCCAGUGUGUGGGUAGAGUCCAGUGUGUGGGUAGAGUCCAGUGUGUGGGUAGAGUCCAGUGUGUUGGUAGAGUCCAGUGUGUGGGUAGAGUCCAGUGUGUGGGUAGAGUCCAGUGUGUGAGUAGAGU